AUACGGAGGGUGCGAGCGUUAUUCGGAAUUACUGGGCGUAAAGCGUACGUAGGCGGUUCGUUAAGUUAGAUGUGAAAGCCCCGGGCUUAACCUGGGAACUGCAUUUAAAACUGGCGAACUAGAGUUGAGUAGAGGGGAGUGGAAUUUCAGGUGUAGCGGUGAAAUGCGUAGAGAUCUGAAGGAACACCGGUGGCGAAGGCGACUCCCUGGACUCGAACUGACGCUGAGGUACGAAAGCGUGGGUAGCAAACGGGAUUAGAAACCCUUGUAGUCC
This 274-nucleotide ribosomal RNA is filed under the name uncultured bacterium. RNAcentral describes it as "partial 16S ribosomal RNA". It matches the Rfam family "Bacterial small subunit ribosomal RNA", at positions 523 to 796 of the family's 1533-position model. The record is from RNAcentral.